GGAGAGGUGCAGGAGUGGUUGAACUGGCUUGUCUCGAAAACAAGUGUGGGGUAACUCACCGAGGGUUCGAAUCCCUCUCUCUCCGCCA
Molecule: transfer RNA, 88 nt
Filed under: Candidatus Mycosynbacter amalyticus
Lineage: Bacteria; Candidatus Saccharimonadota
Description: tRNA-Ser
Rfam family: tRNA
About the family: Transfer RNA (tRNA) molecules are approximately 80 nucleotides in length. Their secondary structure includes four short double-helical elements and three loops (D, anti-codon, and T loops).
Source: RNAcentral